GGAAGUGAGGACAAUGUGUCUGUGACACUUGGUACCACACUGAUUUCUAGGGUUGAUUUGAUUUGUUGGCUGUGGUAGGCUAGGUGUUUGUUCACCUCCUCACUCUGCUCCAAGUGUCUCCUUUGCAAAUCUGUGCACUUGAUGGGAGGAGAUGACAUUCUUGCAGAGAGGAGGACUAUUCUUUAACCAAGGAUAUGCAAGUAGCUGUGCUUUUGGCAAGAACCUCAAACAGGCCUUCAAGAGACAAUACACGCAAAGGAAGCCUGGACACGCUGUAACUGGGCUCAGUACCUCUCCAUAGCUGUUGUUUCCCUGG
Molecule: non-coding RNA, 316 nt
Organism: Cricetulus griseus (Chinese hamster)
Lineage: Eukaryota; Metazoa; Chordata; Mammalia; Rodentia; Cricetidae
Source: Rfam